Molecule: long non-coding RNA, 3314 nt
Organism: Cornus florida
Lineage: Eukaryota; Viridiplantae; Streptophyta; Magnoliopsida; Cornales; Cornaceae
Exons: 2
Source: RefSeq, a predicted model, not a curated record
UUUUCAUUUAAAGUUUUUAUUUUAAUAAUCAGAGAACGGACAAUGUUUAAUGAAACAUUAUUGUUUUUUCCUCCAAAGUUGCUCAUCGAUCGAGGAGACAGAGACGACAGAGAUAGGAUGUAUCCGACUUUAUUGUUCCUGAUACUUUUACUUUCCCUCUUAAUUCCCAUUUAUUUAUUACUGAGUAUAAAAUAUCCAUAUUUCACUUCUACCCUAGUCAGCAUCAAUGAACCAACAAAUUAAUAUUCAGACAUUUGAGGCUGUGUUGUUGGUCUUGCUUGGCAGUUCAGGUACCAUAGACCUCUUUCCACUCCUGAGUAGUUAAAUUUGUUUGUUGAACGGAGUACUCAUCUUCAGGUAUUACAGUAUAUAUUUUAAGUAAGUGCUUUUACUGAUGAUGUAGUUAUUAUGACUUGGGGUUUUUGAUAUCUGUUAGAAAGGGUUGAGAUGAUUUUAGGGGCAGUGGGUUUCAUUUUCAUAGUUGGGGUACAGCAAGAAAGUGAUUUUUUUUUUUUUUUUGGUGUGAAAAUGAAUUAUUAAAGAGGGUUUAUUUUUAUUUAUUAUUUAUUUUUUAGGGUUUAGGGUUUGAGUGUAGUUGCAACAUGGCAGGGGAUUCCCCUAAACCCUAAUGUCAGAGUACCAAUUUGGCAGCUAGUUUUUGUUUUUGUUUUUUGGCUCGGUUAUACCGGAUUGAGGCACACAAGGGCCGGAAGGAAAAUAUUUUGGGAGUGAAAGUGAAAGGAUUGAUUCAAUUUGAAGUCUUAAUAUAAUCAAAUGAGUCUUCAAGAAGGGGUUUCUUGGCUCAAGGGGGUGUGAGCUCCUUCUUUGUUGACAUUAUUUUUGGACCAGUGCUUGGAUAGAUGGUUGAUAGUGUAUUGGUGCUAUUACAGCCUACCAUAUUUGUCAGUUUUCAUUGUCAAUGUGUAACUAAUUUCACCAUACGAGUCACAGUGCCAAAAUGAUUUUAGUUUUUAUGUAAUUUGAGUCUAAAAUCACUGUGAUCAGUCAAGUAUAACCCCACCAUUGAUGUGCAUGCUUUGCAAUCAGUUAUGAAUAAGUCUGAAAGGUUUCAAUGUCUUGUUUUUCCUAAUGAGCUUUGUAAGCUGCAAGGUCAUAGAACAUAGGCAUUAAGGUGCAGUUCAUUCAAGGUUUGAAUAUUCAGAACAGCUAUAAUUCUUUGCCUUCUAUGCUUCAAGAGUUACUUGAUUAAAUUUACAAAUAUACUCUAGAUAAAGAUAUGUGUUCUCUUUAGUUUACAUUGACAUUUGAGAAAAUAGCACAUACAAUUUGUUCUACUGAACACCAGUCUGUUAAUUUCUAUAACAUACAGUUUAGUCAUAAUAAAAAUACAAUUGUUACAGUUUGGUCAUCAUAUAAACAAAAUUUAACAUUUUUUGAAACUUCGAACAUUCUAUAUGAUGAUUGAUGCAGGUUACUAUUAUUCAAAUAUAAGCUGAAAUUUGCCAAUAUAACUACCUGACAGAUAGCUGUCUGUUUUUGUUCCUUUCAAAAGAUGGCGAAUGAAGAUUCACAAAGUAUAAGCCUCAAGGUGCUGGUGGAAAAAGAGAAAAAUCGAUUUGUUUUUUGCUGAGGCUAAUAAUGAUUUUGUUGAUGUCCUCUUUAGCUUCAUGACUAUGCCUACCAGAAACAAUAUCCGACUUACUCGUGAACACUCAUUAGAAGUGGACUUUGGUUGUUUCAACAACUUAUAUGAAAGCAUUGAGAAUCUUGACGUUGAACAUGUACAAAGUGUGAGUGCAAGGACAUGCUGCUUCGUCCUCGAAGUGCAGCAGAAAUUUACUGCAGGAGUCUAAAACUUAAUGCUGUUGAUAGUGAUACUAAUGACUACCAUACCUGCUAUGGCCAUCAAUGUUUGGGUACUUGCUGCAAUGCUCUCUGCCAUUGUGGACAGUACAUGGGUUACACUUGCAACCUGAAAAGCCCAUUGGGGUGUUUGUGAAACCUACCACAAGGUUUAUGAUAACAGAUGACUUUCAUGUAAAGCCCAUUUCAACCAUGACAGGCUUAACCCUGCUUAGUAAGUUUGGAGCUACCGAUAGAAGCAUAAGAGAAGAAAGGACUAUAAGUAUGGAAAGGGACAAGGUAAUGAAGUAGUUUACUUUUUAGUGUUUCCAUGAACAAAAUGAAUUCUCUCUCUCUCUCUCUCAGGUUCUGAAAUGGCUCAUGUGUUCAUUAACAUCAAGGGUGCCAUUCUCAGAGACCAUUUUGGAACCAGCCAUUGACAAAAAAAGUUUUGACAUUUGUCUCCAAGAAGCAUGGAUCAAUCUCAAAGGACUAUGAACUGGGAAAAAUGGGGAACAAAGAUAAGUUUGAAGGGGAACAAAGAUAAGUGUGAAGCUUAUCAUCAACAAAUCUAAUAACAGGGUAUUGUAUGCAGAAGCAAAAGAAGAUUUUGUUGAUCUUAUUAGCAGUUUCCUCACAUUUCCACUUGGUUACGUCUUUGAAAAAUUUGCAUACUUGUCCUUAGGGGAUGCUUGGGUAACCAAGAUUUUGAUGCGGAGGUAUUCUUUAAAUCUGAGGAGAUGAAAUCGAUUUUGGUCAAUCCAAAGCUGGCCCGUGGUCUUGCUUUGGAAAAACAGCUCAUUCCCAUCGAGGAAGCUUCAUAUCCAUCUUUCUCUACUGUUACUUCCCUUUUUAUUGUUGGACACAUGCUACGGGACAAAAAUAAUUGGCAAUGGAUUCAUUAGGGGACCUUCCAUGUUCAUGGUGACAGAUGAUUUCACCAUUACGCUUUUAUCUUAAUUCUUGGGCUUAUCUUUUAUUGACAGAUUGAAUAUUCCUCUUGGUGACAUUUUAGAGCAAGAAGUGACCAUGGGUGAUGAGGAGGCUUUACAUCUCUUGGAAGCUGCUUUGGUGUUGAAAACUACUCUGACUGACAUUUUCGUACUCAAGAAAUCAAAGCAGAAACUUGAUGACUUGGGGAAGAAAAGAAGAAAAAAAUUGCAAAAACUGAGUGACUUGGGGAAAAAAAGGAUAAAAAAAGCAAAAACUCAAUGAGGAUACAGACAAUUGAUGCAUGAAUGAAAAAGAAACUCUACAAAAAUUCAGUAACAAAUGAACUUGGUGUAAACUUUUCCUUUUGUAGAAUUUAUUUCAAUUGCUUAUUUUAUUUUAUUUUAAUUUAGGGUUCAUAUAUGUUCUCAACCAUAGACUCAAAUAUCAGUUGUAAUUAAACUAUGCAACUUUGUUUUUGUCCCAGUUGUGGUAGUCAUUGGUUGUGUAAGCAUGGUGUUAUUGAUGAAAAUUUUGGUUCUAUUUCUAUAUGAUGCCCAAUAUUGUUGCUUUUGUUGUCA